UUAAACGACUCUCGGCAACGGAUAUCUCGGCUCUCGCAUCGAUGAAGAACGUAGCGAAAUGCGAUACUUGGUGUGAAUUGCAGAAUCCCGUGAACCAUCGAGUCUUUGAACGCAAGUUGCGCCCGAAGCCUUCGGGCCGAGGGCACGUCUGCCUGGGCGUCA
RNAcentral lists this ribosomal RNA (162 nucleotides) under Delosperma echinatum. Its description in RNAcentral is "5.8S ribosomal RNA". It matches the Rfam family "5.8S ribosomal RNA". Rfam says of the family: 5.8S ribosomal RNA (5.8S rRNA) is a component of the large subunit of the eukaryotic ribosome. It is transcribed by RNA polymerase I as part of the 45S precursor that also contains 18S and 28S rRNA. The record is from RNAcentral. RNAcentral also lists the same sequence under 8 other names. Lineage: Eukaryota; Viridiplantae; Streptophyta; Magnoliopsida; Caryophyllales; Aizoaceae.